UACGAAGGGGGCUAGCGUUGCUCGGAAUUACUGGGCGUAAAGGGCGCGUAGGCGGACAGUUUAGUCAGAGGUGAAAGCCCAGGGCUCAACCUUGGAAUUGCCUUUGAUACUGGCUGUCUUGAGUUCGGGAGAGGUGAGUGGAAUGCCGAGUGUAGAGGUGAAAUUCGUAGAUAUUCGGCGGAACACCAGUGGCGAAGGCGACUCACUGGCCCGAUACUGACGCUGAGGCGCGAAAGCGUGGGGGGCAAACAGG
Molecule: ribosomal RNA, 253 nt
Filed under: uncultured bacterium
Lineage: Bacteria
Description: partial 16S ribosomal RNA
Rfam family: Bacterial small subunit ribosomal RNA
Source: RNAcentral